Molecule: ribosomal RNA, 641 nt
Filed under: uncultured bacterium
Lineage: Bacteria
Description: bacterial SSU rRNA
Rfam family: Bacterial small subunit ribosomal RNA
Source: RNAcentral
AGAGUUUGAUCCUGGCUCAGAACGAACGCUGGCGGCACGCUUAACACAUGCAAGUCGAACGGGCUAUUUAUAGCUAGUGGCGCACGGGUGAGGAAUACAUAGGAAUCUGCCUUAUAGUCCUGGAACAACCAAGAGAAAUUUUGGCUAAUACCGGAUAUUCCCUGAGGGGGAAAGAUUUAUUGCUAUAAGAGGAGCCUAUGUCUGAUUAGCUAGUUGGUAGGGUAAAGGCCUACCAAGGCUUCGAUCAGUAGCUGGUCUGAGAGGAUGAUCAGCCACACUGGGACUGAGACACGGCCCAGACUCCUACGGGAGGCAGCAGUGGGGAAUAUUGGACAAUGGGCGAAAGCCUGAUCCAGCGAUGCCGCGUGAGUGAAGAAGGCCUUCGGGUUGUAAAGCUCUUUUAUCAGGAAUAAUAUAGAUAGUACCUGAAGAAUAAGGACCGGCAAACUUCGUGCCAGCAGCCGCGGUAAUACGAAGGGUCCAAGCGUUGUUCGGAAUGACUGGGCGUAAAGGGCGCGUAGGCGGAUUAUUAAGUUGGAUUUGAAAUCCCUGGGCUUAACCUAGGAACUGGAUUCAAAACUGGUAAUCUAGAGUCUGUGAGAGGGAAAUGGAAUUCCGAGUGUAGCGGUGAAAUGCGUAGA